RNAcentral lists this long non-coding RNA (314 nucleotides) under Mytilus galloprovincialis (Mediterranean mussel). The record is from RNAcentral. Lineage: Eukaryota; Metazoa; Mollusca; Bivalvia; Mytilida; Mytilidae.
UAGAUAAAGAUUAUAUUUUGUUCCCGGAUUGCUGUUUCGUUGACGUGUCCAUGUGUCUCAAAACGUGACCGAUGUCAAAGACAGGUAACUCAAAUACACAUAACAACUAACCAACGAUUAGAAUAUGAGUCAUAAUUCUUACUACACAGAGAAACGUUAAUGAAUUACACAAUACUUUAAUAAAAUGUUAAGAAAAAGUAUGCACCCAUUUCCAUUAGCUAGACCAAGUAUAUUACAAAUUCGCACUACAGGAAUGUUAAAGUACGAUUGCAAUACCAAUAAAUCUUAAUAAAGUACAACAUGGUAUUGAAUUG